Molecule: ribosomal RNA, 244 nt
Filed under: uncultured bacterium
Lineage: Bacteria
Description: partial 16S ribosomal RNA
Rfam family: Bacterial small subunit ribosomal RNA
Source: RNAcentral
GGCUAGCGUUGCUCGGAAUUACUGGGCGUAAAGCGCACGUAGGCGGCUUCUUAAGUCGGUGGUGAAAUCCUGGAGCUCAACUCCAGAACUGCCUUCGAUACUGGGAAGCUCGAGUCCGGGAGAGGUGAGUGGAACUGCGAGUGUAGAGGUGAAAUUCGUAGAUAUUCGCAAGAACACCAGGGGCGAAGGCGGCGCACUGGCCCGGGACUGACGCUGAGGUGCGAAAGCGGGGGGAGCAAACAGG